AAUGAAGUGCCUGAAGGAAAAAAGGGUUAUUUUGAUAGAAUAAAUUAUGUAGUCGCCUACCUUCAUUA
Molecule: transfer RNA, 68 nt
Filed under: Tenebroides mauritanicus (cadelle beetle)
Lineage: Eukaryota; Metazoa; Arthropoda; Insecta; Coleoptera; Trogossitidae
Description: tRNA-Ile
Source: RNAcentral